AUUCUUUAAUAUUAUUUCUCUUAUGAGUCUAAAAAAAAAACAAUUAACAAAAAAAGUAAAAAAUUUUACAUUAAACUUUGGUCCUCAGCACCCUGCUGCGCAUGGUGUUUU
Molecule: non-coding RNA, 111 nt
Filed under: Octactis speculum
Lineage: Eukaryota; Dictyochophyceae; Dictyochales; Dictyochaceae
Source: RNAcentral